This 273-nucleotide ribosomal RNA is filed under the name uncultured Acinetobacter sp. Its description in RNAcentral is "partial 16S ribosomal RNA". It matches the Rfam family "Bacterial small subunit ribosomal RNA", at positions 524 to 796 of the family's 1533-position model. Lineage: Bacteria; Pseudomonadati; Pseudomonadota; Gammaproteobacteria; Moraxellales; Moraxellaceae. The record is from RNAcentral.
UACAGAGGGUGCGAGCGUUAAUCGGAAUUACUGGGCGUAAAGCGCGCGUAGGCGGUUAUGUAAGUUGGAUGUGAAAUCCCCGGGCUUAACCUGGGCACUGCAUUCAAAACUGCAUAGCUAGAGUAUGGGAGAGGAAGGUAGAAUUCCAGGUGUAGCGGUGAAAUGCGUAGAGAUCUGGAGGAAUACCGAUGGCGAAGGCAGCCUUCUGGCCUAAUACUGACGCUGAGGUGCGAAAGCAUGGGGAGCAAACAGGAUUAGAAACCCCAGUAGUCC